RNAcentral lists this long non-coding RNA (1411 nucleotides) under Phoenix dactylifera (date palm). RNAcentral describes it as "long non-coding RNA (PDAC_LNC011060)". Lineage: Eukaryota; Viridiplantae; Streptophyta; Magnoliopsida; Arecales; Arecaceae. The record is from RNAcentral.
UCCAAGUGAUCCCGCGGCCAGCGUUGCAACCUCCCAUCCACCGGAUCCAUGUUCUCCCCUCUUCCGUGAUCCCAGCACCUCACAGCCGAUCCAGCCGUUCGCCUCUUCCGCGUUUCUUCCUUCCGCUAUCCAUCCCAGCCACCCAUGAAGGAGGAAACCAGCAACACCCGUUUCAGCCGCCUGUGAUUCUCCCCCAAGCAUCUUCCGUGAUCCCGGCGAUCCCGCACCGCGUCUCCUUUCUUCCACGCCCAGCAGCCCACGUCCUUCACACGGUGAAAGUCCCAGCGCCCUGAUCCAAGCCUUGAACGCCUCCUCCCAGAUCCUCCGCCGCCAAGCAUCACGUCUGAGCCGCAAUGAUCCAAGGCGCCAUCCACGGAUCCGUUCCUCCCAGCACCGAUUCCGGCCUCCCGUUUCAAAGAUCCACAGCUCCAUCCCGUGCGGAAACCAGGGAGAAGAAAGGAUCCCACACCCGCUUCCAAUCCGGCGUCCACAGAGCUUCCGGUGAUUCCGCAUCUCUUCCGGAUUUGAAAUCCCAAACGUCUGCAUCCACGGAUCACGCCGGCCGAUCCACCUCCCCGAGAUCCCGCGCCCGUUUCUCCUCCUCUCCAUGCUGUGGCGAUCUAUAAGAAGGGUAGAACGAGAGGAGGAAGGGGGCUCUCGGCGGGGUGGUCGGCUGGUUCAAGAGGGAGGAAAGGGAGGCCAUCGGCUUGGGAGAGAAGAGAGAAAGAAAAGAACAGGUGAUGCUCUGCUCUUUUGGGAAGAAGAAAGAAAAAAAAGGGAAAUUAGUAUUUUAUGUUCCACCGAGAGAGAGAGAGAGAGUGAAAAGAGAAGUAAUUUGUUUUUAUUUUUCUUUCUUUAUUUGAUUUGCAAAAUAGAAGGAGUAUUUGGCCUCUAAUCUCUAUUUUUAUUUAUAAUCAGUUUUUUCUUUUAUGAAAUCCGGCCAUCAAUUUUCUUUCAUGCAAUCCCUGUUCUAGAUUCAAAUUAAUUUCUAUUUUUUUAUGCAAUCUUUUAAUUUUUCUUUGAUGAAAUAUAUUUAAUUUUCUUUUAUAAAAUUUAUGUUUCAGGCUUCAAUCUUCUUAGUGUCGUCUAUUUUAAUUUAUGCCAAAACUCUUCUUUGAUUAAUUAAAUAAAUGCUUUUCGAAUCUAAGUACCUGUCUUUUAGUUAAUUUGAAUUAGAAAACAUUCAACAUCCUCAAAAUAAUAUUUUUCUUCUGUUAUUUAAAAAUCGUGAACGUAUUUAUUUUUAAGCAACUCCAACUGCUUCUCUGUGGAUCGACCUCUUACAACCACUAUUCUUUGAGUAGAACAGGUAAGAGUAAUAUUAAUUUAAACUUUGUUUAUCGGUUCUAACAACGAUCUGUUUAGCAUAUUUUUAGGUAAACAGGAAUCGGACGAACAAGGUUCAAGCGUG